RNAcentral lists this unclassified non-coding RNA (452 nucleotides) under Hevea brasiliensis (rubber tree). Lineage: Eukaryota; Viridiplantae; Streptophyta; Magnoliopsida; Malpighiales; Euphorbiaceae. The record is from RNAcentral.
AUGUGUUUCUGCAUCUGGAUCAAUACUCUUUGCAAAAACAUCAGAAGAUGGACUGUCUAAGGCAUUUCUUCCAGUUGAACCACCUUGAGGGCUUCUUGCCAAUUCAUNGGACUUCUUGCCGAUUCAUCUUCACUGUGGAAGCAUGCAGAUUCACCCUCAAGGGCAUGUUCACCAGUACUAAAAAAGUUCCCAGACUUGCCAUCACCAUUUGAUAAAGAAUCAGGGGUUAGACUACCAUCUUGUGACGCUUUUUCCUUUUGCAUGGCAGAAGCAUUUUUCACAUCAAUGGUGAGGUCAUUGGCAAAUCCUUCAUCUUCGAACUUAUCCCACUCUUCAUCCCACACAGCUGCUCCUUCUUGAAUUCCAGGUUGCCAGCCAAAGGGAAGCUCAACCAGUGAGACUGGCUUAGCACGCAAUCCAUAUUGUUUACAGCGUUCAUUCACACUUUUUAC